CCUACGGGAGGCAGCAGUGAGGAAUCUUGGUCAAUGGCCGUAAGGCUGAACCAGCCACGCCGCGUGAAGGAAGAAGGAUCUAUGGUUUGUAAACUUCUUUUAUAGGGGAAUAAAGGUAUCCACGUGUGGAUAUUUGCAUGUACCCUAUGAAUAAGCAUCGGCUAACUCCGUGCCAGCAGCCGCGGUAAGACGGAGGAUGCGAGCGUUAUCCGGAUUUAUUGGGUUUAAAGGGUGCGUAGGUUGUUUUUUAAGUCAGCUGUGAAAGUUUGUGGCUCAACCAUAAAAUUGCCGUUGAAACUGGAAGACUUGAGUGUGGUUGAGGGAGGCGGAAUGCGUGGUGUAGCGGUGAAAUGCAUAGAUAUCACGCAGAACACCGAUGGCGAAGGCAGCUUACUGGGCCAUAACUGACGCUGAGGCACGAAAGCGUGGGGAUCAAACAGGAUUAGAUACCCUUGUAGUC
RNAcentral lists this ribosomal RNA (460 nucleotides) under uncultured bacterium. Its description in RNAcentral is "partial 16S ribosomal RNA". It matches the Rfam family "Bacterial small subunit ribosomal RNA", at positions 338 to 795 of the family's 1533-position model. The record is from RNAcentral.